ACCAAACUGUUGCCUCGGCGGGAUCUCUGCCCCGGGUGCGUCGCAGCCCCGGACCAAGGCGCCCGCCGGAGGACCAACCAAAACUCUUAUUGUAUACCCCCUCGCGGGUUUUUUUAUAAUCUGAGCCUUCUCGGCGCCUCUCGUAGGCGUUUCGAAAAUGAAUCAAAACUUUCAACAACGGAUCUCUUGGUUCUGGCAUCGAUGAAGAACGCAGCGAAAUGCGAUAAGUAAUGUGAAUUGCAGAAUUCAGUGAAUCAUCGAAUCUUUGAACGCACAUUGCGCCCGCCAGUAUUCUGGCGGGCAUGCCUGUCCGAGCGUCAUUUCAACCCUCGAACCCCUCCGGGGGGUCGGCGUUGGGGAUCGGCCCUGCCUUGGCGGUGGCCGUCUCCGAAAUACAGUGGCGGUCUCGCCGCAGCCUCUCCUGCGCAGUAGUUUGCACACUCGCAUCGGGAGCGCGGCGCGUCCACAGCCGUUAAACACCCAACUUCUGAAAUGUUGACCUCGGAUCAGGUAGGAAUACCCGCUGAACUUAAGCAUAUCAAUAAGCGGAGGAA
RNAcentral lists this ribosomal RNA (554 nucleotides) under Trichoderma harzianum. RNAcentral's name for it is "eukaryotic LSU rRNA". The stretch from base 167 to 320 matches the Rfam family "5.8S ribosomal RNA". The record is from RNAcentral. Lineage: Eukaryota; Fungi; Ascomycota; Sordariomycetes; Hypocreales; Hypocreaceae.